AGGUUAAGCUAGUAAGGGCACACGGAGGAUGCCUUGGCGCCAGGAGCCGAUGAAGGACGGGACGAACACCGAUAUGCUUCGGGGAGCUGUAAGUGAGCUUUGAUCCG
Molecule: ribosomal RNA, 107 nt
Filed under: Thermoflavimicrobium daqui
Lineage: Bacteria; Bacillati; Bacillota; Bacilli; Caryophanales; Thermoactinomycetaceae
Description: Thermoflavimicrobium sp. FBKL4.011 partial 23S ribosomal RNA
Rfam family: Bacterial large subunit ribosomal RNA
Source: RNAcentral